CCGGGGUACGGGUGGUAACGGUAACCGGCGUAACGGUAAACUCGCCGUAUACGGUGGGGAUAACACUUAGAAAUAGGUGCUAAUACUGCAUAAGCGCACAGCUUCGCAUGGAGCGGUGUGAAAAACUCUGGUGGUAUACGAUGGUUCCGCGUCUGAUUAGCUAGUUGGUGGGGUAAUGGCCUACCAAGGCAACGAUCAGUAGCCGGCCUGAGAGGGUGAACGGCCACAUUGGGACUGAGACACGGCCCAAACUCCUACGGAAGGCAGCAG
Molecule: ribosomal RNA, 270 nt
Filed under: uncultured bacterium
Lineage: Bacteria
Description: partial 16S ribosomal RNA
Rfam family: Bacterial small subunit ribosomal RNA
Source: RNAcentral